This 849-nucleotide ribosomal RNA is filed under the name uncultured Staphylococcus sp. RNAcentral describes it as "bacterial SSU rRNA". It matches the Rfam family "Bacterial small subunit ribosomal RNA", at positions 65 to 896 of the family's 1533-position model. The record is from RNAcentral. Lineage: Bacteria; Bacillati; Bacillota; Bacilli; Caryophanales; Staphylococcaceae.
AGCGAACAGAUAAGGAGCUUGCUCCUUUGACGUUAGCGGCGGACGGGUGAGUAACACGUGGGUAACCUACCUAUAAGACUGGGACAACUUCGGGAAACCGGAGCUAAUACCGGAUAAUAUGUUGAACCGCAUGGUUCAAUAGUGAAAGAUGGUUUUGCUAUCACUUAUAGAUGGACCCGCGCCGUAUUAGCUAGUUGGUGAGGUAACGGCUCACCAAGGCAACGAUACGUAGCCGACCUGAGAGGGUGAUCGGCCACACUGGAACUGAGACACGGUCCAGACUCCUACGGGAGGCAGCAGUAGGGAAUCUUCCGCAAUGGGCGAAAGCCUGACGGAGCAACGCCGCGUGAGUGAUGAAGGUCUUAGGAUCGUAAAACUCUGUUAUUAGGGAAGAACAAACGUGUAAGUAACUGUGCACGUCUUGACGGUACCUAAUCAGAAAGCCACGGCUAACUACGUGCCAGCAGCCGCGGUAAUACGUAGGUGGCAAGCGUUAUCCGGAAUUAUUGGGCGUAAAGCGCGCGUAGGCGGUUUUUUAAGUCUGAUGUGAAAGCCCACGGCUCAACCGUGGAGGGUCAUUGGAAACUGGAAAACUUGAGUGCAGAAGAGGAAAGUGGAAUUCCAUGUGUAGCGGUGAAAUGCGCAGAGAUAUGGAGGAACACCAGUGGCGAAGGCGACUUUCUGGUCUGUAACUGACGCUGAUGUGCGAAAGCGUGGGGAUCAAACAGGAUUAGAUACCCUGGUAGUCCACGCCGUAAACGAUGAGUGCUAAGUGUUAGGGGGUUUCCGCCCCUUAGUGCUGCAGCUAACGCAUUAAGCACUCCGCCUGGGGAGUACGACCGCAAGUUG